ACCUUCCUGCUCCUCCUCCCCUCACCCGGCGGUGGCUCCCUACCCCUGCCUGCGUACCGCCUCUUCCUCCUUCUGACAGCGGCAGCGGUGAGCAUGAGAGCAGCGGAAGCGGCUGGACACCAUAAGCUGGCCGAGGUGGUCUACGUCGAGGAACGGUCGCGCCCGACGCCGUCCUCCAACCCGUACUUCCCAACCCGAUGCAUGCCCAAGGAUUCCGGCGCACCUCGAAGGAAGGACCAAGGCCUGGGACGACUUGUCUUGUCCUCUUCUUCCUCUAGCAUCUCCCUGCCGGCUGCUGCUUAUUAGGGAGGGAGGGGAAAAGAUAGAUGGCGGCGGCGGCUGGACCUGGCUGAGUUGUUUGGGGAGCUGCGCACACGUCGAGCGACGGCGAGCGCAUCCGACGCCGACACACCGAGAGUCCUCAUCUCCCGAUCUGUGUCCCUCAAUUUUCUAUUGGCCAAACAAAAGAUGCAAUCUAUCGUUGAAAGACCAACUUGUCCGCAAAAUACUUUGCAAACUGCGGCACGUUGAGCAAGGAGGUCUGUGCGAGUUAGAGGUUAUAUGAGACAAGGGCUUGCUCCUAUUAAAUGGAAGGGCCAUAAUUAUUAGUCCAAGUGAUAUUGAAGUUACAUUUGAGAAUUUUCCCUACUACCUUAAGUGAUGCUUUGACUUAAUGUUCCUUUGAUUUGCUUGACGUCUUAUGCUGUUUUUUAGCUUCUUCGUAUGCUUGACUAAUGUUCUGUCACGUAUUUAUACCUUUAUAUAUUUAUUGAUGUCCAUUUAUGCAGAGAGAAUUCGAAGGAUGUGCUCCUAUCAUGUUCAUUCUUACAUUUGGAAAAGAAGGGAUUCAUUGAGCAGUUCUCCGAAAUUUCUUCAAUAAACCAGCGAAUUUAUCAUCUGGUCCAUCAGGUUGUUUUGCGUACUGUGAUUGCCCUCUAUUCCACAUGGUCUAUGAGUUGCGAGGAUUUAGGGUCUAGGAACUGACAGGCUCUUGUUUCUGUUGCUGAUUAGAGCUUUGGUUAAGGUGCGUUCUUUUUUAGUGUAGCCAGCGUUCUGUUGUUGCUCCUGUGAUAAAUUGUUAGUUAGACUUGUGCUUAACUUGCGAUUCUUACAGAGAUGUACUUUCAGUGAGAAGAAAAGGCCAUAUUUUUUGCUAGCAAGGAUGUCGAUCUUGCAGCUUUCUGCGCAUAGUUUCAUUCUUAUCUUAUAUACUUUAUUUAUAGCAUAUAAAUACAGGAAUAUAGCCGUCCUAUGUUAGAGUAUGAAUUAGAAUCCAAAUCAGCAAUUGUAAAAAUGAACAAUAACUUCUAUUUCGUUAUAUAUGCAAUGUCCCCAAUUUUAUUGUUUUUCCUUUUUGCUUCUAUAGGAUUGCGAUCUAUACUUUCUCUGCCUUACGCUGAAUCUGAUGUUAUUCAUGCAUCUGAUGCCACUCAGAUUUUAGGAAUUUUAGGAUGGAUGGCAAGUUUCCCAUGUUGGAUGUUUCCUUACUUUCUCAAAUCUUUGUGAUAACAUAGGUGAUUCUGUUUCAACCUAAGCACUUGCCUUUCUAUGUUUUAGUUUCAAAAAUACACUAUUUGAGUCUAGAUGACCAUUAAUCACUUCAUUUCAUGUGGACAGAGGACUAAUAUUAUUGUUCCAAGAAGAGAAGCAACUACAUCAGUGUGUAGUAGUAGGUAUCAAUGUUUUCUCAUUCCGAUGAUUCUGAAGCGAGAUGAUUACUUUAUUCCCCUAUUUCUUUGUCCAUAGUCAUACCUCAGUGAGUUUCUCUAUUUCCUAUAGCUCUACUACUAUUUCCAUUGGAACAUGUCUCUCGGUUAUCCUUUAUAUAAUAUCAUGAACAGAGGCAAGAAUGAAACAUAUGCUUGAAUUAUGGUGUUGGUCUUAAGAAAAAUAUGUGAAUGGAAUAAGAAUUGUAUAUAGUUGUUGAUACAGUUUCUUGCGAUUUAAAUGACAGCUGCCUCAUGUUUGUAUGGAACAAGAGUUGCCUACUUCUCAUGAAUUAACAUAACAUCAUUUUAGUAGUUCUCUUGAAUUAAUGGAACAAAUAGAUUGGAAAGGCAUGUAUCAAUAAUGAAUGACAUUGCUUGGAAAUUUUUUACUAGGUAGUACAAAGUAUAUAUGUAGAAAUAUAGCAAAUGUAUAUAUAAUGUAAUCCUAAUUUACAUAACUUCUCUUCAGGUCCUAUCUGGAUUUGAACUUAUGAAGAACCCCAUGUUUGUUCAGAUAUGCACACAUUUUUGUCACCCAGAGUCUUUGCAUUUAGGUUAUAUUAUUGAUUCAGGUUUAGUUGUUUAGAUCAAAACUAUAAUAUUGCGUGUAGAUUGACAAAUUAUUUAUCACUUUGGGGACUCCGUUUUGUUCAUCAGAAAGUUUUUUUCCAGUGCCCCAAGAACUUGGCUUUGAUUUUCUUCCGAAAAUGAAUUGAAAUUACUACGAUUCAUGCAAAUUACUUGACAAAGUAAAAUGUUCUCUGCAUAAUGGAUAGAUGUACUAUCUGGAUAGUGGAUAAAUGUACCGAUCAUAGAUUCCUAUACGGAUCUGAGGAAAGUAUUCUCAUUUAUUUAGCAUGCACCCGCAAUCAUUCAGAUAUAGGUUGUUAUCCAAAGAACACAUUAUAUUGCCUUUGUUUUUACAUAAAGAUGUAGAUGUUGAGAAGUAUAUUAUUUUGAGUCGGUCUAUUGUGUAACUUCGGGUUCUUUCGUUUGUGUGGAUACAUUUGUAAAGAAGUGACAUGGCUUAGUAACCCAUAUUAGAUUUUGCCAUUGUAUAGGGAAUAAAGGUGAGAGAGCAAAUGAGUUUCCGAAGUCAGAUGAGAUUAUAUAGCAGGUUGACUCUUUGUAGUGCUGGUUUAGAUGUAGGCCAGGUUACAUGUUAGCCAAAAAAACACAUUAUAUUGCCUUUGUUUUUUACAUCUAGGUGUAAAUGUUGAGAAGUAUAUUAUUUUGAUUGAUAAUAGUUUGAGGAGCAUUACAAAGGAUCGCUACGAAGAAUUUGAAGGAUUCAAGGAAAUGUUUUCUUAGUCUUAUCCAUCACAUAACUUUGGGUUCUAUCAUUUGUGUGGCACAUACAUUUGUAAAGAAGUGAACCGUAUUUGCAACUCUAAAUUUUAAUCAAUACAAGUCGACAACUAAGUUGCCUGUUCUCUCA
Molecule: long non-coding RNA, 3147 nt
Organism: Aegilops tauschii subsp. strangulata
Lineage: Eukaryota; Viridiplantae; Streptophyta; Magnoliopsida; Poales; Poaceae
Source: RefSeq, a predicted model, not a curated record